CCUACGGGCAGCAGCAGUGAGGAAUAUUGGUCAAUGGACGAGAGUCUGAACCAGCCAAGUAGCGUGAAGGAUGACUGCCCUAUGGGUUGUAAACUUCUUUUAUAAAGGAAUAAACAGAGGCACGUGUGCCUUUUUGCAUGUACUUUAUGAAUAAGGAUCGGCUAACUCCGUGCCAGAAGCCGCGGUAAUACGGAGGAUCCGAGCGUUAUCCGGUUUUAUGGGGUUUAAAGGGGGGGUAGAUGGGUGGUUACGUAGGGUGUGAAAGGUUGCGGCUCAAGCGGAAAAUUGCCAUUGAUACUGGCAGUCUGGAGUACAGAUGAGGUAGGCGGAAGGCGUGGUGUAGCGGUGAAAUGCUUAGAUAUCACGAAGAACCCCGAUUGCGAAGGCAGCUUACUAAACUGUGACUGACAUUGAUGCUCGAAAGUGUGGGUAUCAAACAGGAUUAGAUACCCCUGUAGUC
Molecule: ribosomal RNA, 460 nt
Filed under: uncultured bacterium
Lineage: Bacteria
Description: partial 16S ribosomal RNA
Rfam family: Bacterial small subunit ribosomal RNA
Source: RNAcentral